CUAAUGAAAAUCACAGCUGAGUUUCUCUUCAUGUUGUGGUAAAGAUAAAAAUGAUUCCAGAAUUGUCAGUGGACGAUUGUCCUAGUCUUUCAUCUUGUAAACUUUGGGUACCAGGCUGUUCAAAUGUGUGUGCUUGACAGGUAAUACCUUUUUGAGACCAGAAAGUGCAGUCCUGUCUUAUCGUACUUGUGCAGACCUUUUGCCAAAAGUUUUUGAUCAAGAUCACCUGUUAAUACCCUUAAAGACAGCCAUUUCGUUUGGAAAUGAAGCUCUGAUCCCAUUGAUUGCAGGACUGACUUCUUGCUCAUUUCCUUGAGUCUGCUGGAGGUUUUUAAAUUGCAUUUGGAUAGGAUGUUGCUCUCUUAAAGGAAGGAAAGGUGCCAUGUAGGUACUGACUUGCGGCAGAGAAACUUUUUUUAGUGACUGGAUAACAAUCUGAACUAUUCAUGCCACUCAGAGAACAGACCAAACAAUUUGGUUUAUGGAUUUGAAAGACCUUCCCAGUCUUUUGUGGUUAUAAUGAUAAUUUCCAAUUUAUUUGGUGUAGGGAGGAAUGAUGCCUUUGAGGGUAAAGCCUUUGAGGGUAUGGAACUGUGUAAAUUUAGAGACUGUCAUAUAGCCUGAAACUGUAGGUGAGCCGUGUUGCCUUUCAUUCUGUCUUUGAAUUGUACAGAUUAUUAGAGUAGUGGUAACACUUGAGCUUCACUCUUGGGUGUUUUGUAGGAGAUUAUUUCUUAAAGUUUCUUAUACUGAAAGUCAUUCUUGCCUGUUAGCUUUCAAGAUUAAAUAAAAAUACAAGUUUCUGAAGAAAUAUUUCCUUAAGGCUUUCCUCAAAGUGGUUUUAAUUGCUGUGUAUUUCCUAGCCUAGAAUUUCCAGUGUUUAACAACAGUUCAGUGUAAUUCUACUUUUUUUUUUUUUCUUCUAAGGUAAGGCAUAUAUGGAACCCGUUGAGAACCUUACAUUGUGCUGCAGUAGCUGGAAUUUACAGAGUAGCAGGAAAGAAUAUGGCUCCCUUAGAAGCUCUCAUCUUUGGUGUUGGACAGACAGUACUGACAUUAAUUAUCUCAUUUUCAAGGAUUCUUGCAACACUCUGAGGUUUAUGUAAAAAGAAUUUCAACUAGCCUAAAGAAAUCUCUGAUCUGAAGAGAAGCUUCCUGGAAGUGGAUUCAGCAGCUUAUGAACUUGAAUGCUAGUGCAAGAGAAAGGAAGCGAUGUGGAACAUGCAGUACAAAUCUGGAGGUUCAGUCGAAUGAACAGACUGUCCUCUAGUGUCUGAACUCUUGUACUUCUGCACUGUGCCUUAUGUGCCUCAGUCAUAGGCAAGGUGCGGUCCCUGUGUGCAAAGCUGAGAUAAAGCACCUUGAGUAGCUGCCAGUCAGGCUAAUGCUUGGUGAUAGGAUCGUUGUUCUUAUCAGUGUUUUAAUAAAACUAAAGGGACACUCCUGAAAGUUGCUGUA
Molecule: long non-coding RNA, 1458 nt
Filed under: Anser brachyrhynchus (Pink-footed goose)
Lineage: Eukaryota; Metazoa; Chordata; Aves; Anseriformes; Anatidae
Description: lncRNA (ENSABRG00000012826.1)
Source: RNAcentral